Molecule: non-coding RNA, 784 nt
Filed under: Jumnos ruckeri
Lineage: Eukaryota; Metazoa; Arthropoda; Insecta; Coleoptera; Scarabaeidae
Source: RNAcentral
UAAAGUUUUAUUCUAGCUUAAAUUUUUGAUUUUUAGAUUAUUUUAUAUGUAAAUUUUUGUAUGAAUUAUUUGUAUUUUAAAUGAAUAUAUUAGUUUAGUAAAUUCGCAAUAUUUAAGAUUAAAAAUAAAGGAAAUUUUGAUUUAGGAAUUUAUAAUAAUAUUAACAAAAUUUGUGCCAGCAGUUGCGGUUACACAAAUAAUAUAAUUGAAUAGGGUUAGUAAGUGAUUAGUUUGUAUUAUUUUAGUUUUAGUUUGAAUUUAUUAGGUGAAAUUAUUAAUUUUGGUAUAAGCUAUAAAAUAUAAAAUGAGGUUGCGAAAUUUUUUUUUUAGACUAGGAUUAGAUACCCUAUUAUUGAAAAUUUAAAUUUAAAUACUUGAUUAGUAGUAGUUAUGUUCUUGAAAUUCAAAGAAUCUGGCGGUAUUUUAGUCUAUUCAGAGGAACCUGUCCUGUAAUUGAUAAUCCACGAUAAAUUGUACUUGUUUUAAGUUUGUAUAUCGUCGUAGUUUGAAUGUUUUAAAAGAAAAGAGAAUGUUCAAUAUUUAUUAUUAUAAAGGAAAUCAGAUCAAGAUACAGCGUAUAGAUAAGAAGAGAUGGGUUACAAUAAAUGUAUUUACAUGGUUGAUAUUUUUAACAAAAUAUCAUAAAGUGGAUUUGAUAGUAAUAUAAUUUAUUUAAAUUGUAUGAUUUUUAGCUCUAAAAUAUGCACAUAUCGCCCGUCACUCCCAUUUUAAGGUGGGAUAAGUCGUAACAAAGUAGGUGUACCGGAAGGUGUGCCUGGUAUGG